GUAACGGGCGGCACUAGAGUAAGACGUGAAACACCCGAUUCCAUUCCGACCCCGAUACGUGAAAAGCGUUUUACGCCAUAUGUACUGAGAACUCUCGGGAGACGUGGUUCGACCGCCCUGGCAG
This 124-nucleotide ribosomal RNA is filed under the name Ophioglossum vulgatum (southern adder's-tongue). Lineage: Eukaryota; Viridiplantae; Streptophyta; Polypodiopsida; Ophioglossales; Ophioglossaceae. RNAcentral also lists the same sequence under 1 other name. The record is from RNAcentral.